CCUGAGUACGACGGAGCACGUGAAAUUCCGUCGGAAUCUGGGAGGACCAUCUCCUAAGGCUAAAUACUCUCUAGUGACCGAUAGUGAACCAGUACCGUGAGGGAAAGGUGAAAAGUACCCCGGAAGGGGAGUGAAAGAGAACUUGAAACCGUGUGCUUACAAGUAGUCAGAGCCCGUUAAUGGGUGAUGGCGUGCCUUUUGUAGAAUGAACCGGCGAGUUACGAUCUGAUGCAAGGUUAAGCAGAAAAUGUGGAGCCGUAGCGAAAGCGAGUCUGAAUAGGGCGAAUGAGUAUUUGGUCGUAGACCCGAAACCAGGUGAUCUACCCUUGGUCAGGUUGAAGUUCAGGUAACACUGAAUGGAGGACCGAACCGACUUACGUUGAAAAGUGAGCGGAUGAACUGAGGGUAGCGGAGAAAUUCCAAUCGAACUUGGAGAUAGCUGGUUCUCUCCGAAAUAGCUUUAGGGCUAGCCUCAAGUGAUGAUUAUUGGAGGUAGAGCACUGUUUGGACGAGGGGCCCCUCUCGGGUUACCGAAUUCAGACAAACUCCGAAUGCCAAAUAAUUUAACUUGGGAGUCAGAAUGUGGGUGAUAAGGUCCAUAUUCGAAAGGGAAACAGCCCAGACCACCAGCUAAGGUCCCAAAAUAUAUGUUAAGUGGAAAAGGAUGUGGCGUUGCCCAGACAACUAGGAUGUUGGCUUAGAAGCAGCCAUCAUUUAAAGAGUGCGUAAUAGCUCACUAGUCGAGUGACACUGCGCCGAAAAUGUACCGGGGCUAAACAUAUUACCGAAGCUGUGGAUUGUCCUUUGGACAAUGGUAGGAGAGCGUUCUAAGGGCGUUGAAGCAUGAUCGCAAGGACAUGUGGAGCGCUUAGAAGUGAGAAUGCCGGUGUGAGUAGCGAAAGACGGGUGAGAAUCCCGUCCACCGAUUGACUAAGGUUUCCAGAGGAAGGCUCGUCCGCUCUGGGUUAGUCGGGUCCUAAGCUGAGGCCGACAGGCGUAGGCGAUGGAUAACAGGUUGAUAUUCCUGUACCACCAUUA
RNAcentral lists this ribosomal RNA (1038 nucleotides) under Staphylococcus pseudintermedius. RNAcentral's name for it is "partial 23S ribosomal RNA". It matches the Rfam family "Bacterial large subunit ribosomal RNA", at positions 407 to 1452 of the family's 2925-position model. Lineage: Bacteria; Bacillati; Bacillota; Bacilli; Caryophanales; Staphylococcaceae. The record is from RNAcentral.